RNAcentral lists this ribosomal RNA (518 nucleotides) under Phylladiorhynchus barbeae. RNAcentral describes it as "partial large subunit ribosomal RNA". It matches the Rfam family "Bacterial large subunit ribosomal RNA", at positions 1829 to 2597 of the family's 2925-position model. Lineage: Eukaryota; Metazoa; Arthropoda; Malacostraca; Decapoda; Galatheidae. The record is from RNAcentral.
GUCCAUAUGAAGUUGUAUAUGGUUUAGCCUGCCCACUGAGAUAUUUAAAGGCCGCAGUAUUCUAACUGUGCAAAGGUAGCAUAAUAAUUUGUUUUUUAAUUGGAAGCUUGAAUGAAUGGUUGGACGAAGGAAAAUCUGUUUCUAAUUUAGAUUUAAAACUUUACUUUUAAGUUAAAAGGCUUAAAUAUUUUUAAAAGACGAUAAGACCCUAUAAAACUUUAUAAAAAUUUUUUAUUUGUUUUUUUUUAUGUGCUAUAAAUCAAAAAUAUUAGUUUUUAUUGUGUUGGGGAGACAGGAAUAAAAAUGAUAUUGAACUGUUCUUAUUUUAAGACAAAGAUGAUUGGAGAUAGAAAAGAUCUUCUACUUAGAGAUUAAAAGUUAAAGUUACUUUAGGGAUAACAGCGUAAUUUUUUUAGAGAGUUCUAAUCGAAAAAAAAGUUUGCGACCUCGAUGUUGAAUUAAAAUUUCUUUUUGGUGUAGAAGUUAAAAAAGUAAGUCUGUUCGACUUUUAAAAUUUU